CUCAGCUGAUCCAUGCACCAAAACCUGCAAGAAAGAAAAUAAAGAACACAUGGUUAAUUAUUUGUUUGAGAGAAGCCUCUACUAUCACAGUGAAGUGCUUUGCUUAAUAUAGUAACAACUGGAUCAUCAGAGAUCUACUAAAUGAGGAAGUGGAUGCAAAAACCACUGAGGGUAUUUCAAAGAUGAUUGACAUUCCCCAAAAAGGAAGAAUAAGAUAAAAGAUGCCUCCACAACACUGUGGAGAAAUUUCUCAAGGCACAGGGUAGCAUAUCCUCUUUGUAUGGCAUUCCAUGGCUACAAACCCAUGGCCACUUGUAUAUUGUACCGUCUAUGAGGAAGUAAUGAUCGUGUUCAGAAUAGCACAAGCAAAAGCCUGCACAUCC
This 383-nucleotide unclassified non-coding RNA is filed under the name Hevea brasiliensis (rubber tree). Lineage: Eukaryota; Viridiplantae; Streptophyta; Magnoliopsida; Malpighiales; Euphorbiaceae. The record is from RNAcentral.